GUCCACGCCCUAACGAUGGAUACUAAGCAGGGACCCUGCAAGGGGUUCCUUGCCGGAGCGAAAGCGUUAAGUAUCCCGCCUGGGAGUAUGGUCGCAAGGCUGAAACUCAAAGGAAUUGACGGGGCUCACACAAGCGGUGGAGCAUGUUGCUUAAUUCGAUGCAACGCGAAGAACCUUACCCGGGCUCGAAGUGUACGGAUUAGCUCUAUGAAAGUAGAGUGACACCCUAACCGGUGGAACGUAUAAAGGUGUUGCAUGGCUGUCGU
RNAcentral lists this ribosomal RNA (266 nucleotides) under uncultured bacterium. RNAcentral's name for it is "partial 16S ribosomal RNA". It matches the Rfam family "Bacterial small subunit ribosomal RNA", at positions 793 to 1055 of the family's 1533-position model. The record is from RNAcentral.